RNAcentral lists this ribosomal RNA (397 nucleotides) under Bacillus sp. OrAs9. RNAcentral describes it as "bacterial SSU rRNA". It matches the Rfam family "Bacterial small subunit ribosomal RNA", at positions 82 to 472 of the family's 1533-position model. Lineage: Bacteria; Bacillati; Bacillota; Bacilli; Caryophanales; Bacillaceae. The record is from RNAcentral.
UCUUAUGAAGUUAGCGGCGGACGGGUGAGUAACACGUGGGUAACCUGCCCAUAAGACUGGGAUAACUCCGGGAAACCGGGGCUAAUACCGGAUAACAUUUUGAACCGCAUGGUUCGAAAUUGAAAGGCGGCUUCGGCUGUCACUUAUGGAUGGACCCGCGUCGCAUUAGCUAGUUGGUGAGGUAACGGCUCACCAAGGCAACGAUGCGUAGCCGACCUGAGAGGGUGAUCGGCCACACUGGGACUGAGACACGGCCCAGACUCCUACGGGAGGCAGCAGUAGGGAAUCUUCCGCAAUGGACGAAAGUCUGACGGAGCAACGCCGCGUGAGUGAUGAAGGCUUUCGGGUCGUAAAACUCUGUUGUUAGGGAAGAACAAGUGCUAGUUGAAUAAGCUGG